GUUGCUGGGGUGGAAAUUCCUGUUACCUGCAGCAGGGCUGGAUUUGCUGUUCAUCUGCAUCUGCACAUUUGCAGAUGCCUGUGAUCACAGCAGCAGGAGUUAUACACAGGGUACACUGAUGGGGGGAACCAUGCAUGGAGCAGAAGAGAAUUGGAAGAAAUGCCUCAUGAUCCAUGGUUUCAGUGUCUCUGCUUUCCAAGAAAGAGGGCUCAUCAUCACUCCUGCGCAGGAGAUCAGAAAGACUCCACUCAUAUGCUCUGCCACCUCUCUCUUGAGAUUUUUGUCUCAAAAUGCCCUCCUGAUAAGAUUCAAGAUCCUGACAUGUAAAACGAGACAAAGAAGAUGGAUGUGGUGGGCUGGUGAUUUCCAGCAAUAAAUCUUGGUGCUACAUGAAA
Haemorhous mexicanus (house finch) is the source of this 395-nucleotide long non-coding RNA. RefSeq lists it as uncharacterized. NCBI's taxonomy places the organism in Eukaryota, Metazoa, Chordata, Aves, Passeriformes, Fringillidae. The record is from RefSeq and is a predicted model, not a curated record. The transcript has 2 exons.